UUGGCCAGGUUGGUCUUGAACUCGUGGCCUCAAGUGAUCUGCCCACCUCAGCCUCCAAAAGUGCUGGGAUUACAGACAGCAACAGUUCAAGUUUGAUGAAAACUGGAAGAAAAUAUUUUAAUAAACGUUUGGGUUAGAGGUAAAAAUUAGUGGUCAGUAGAACACCCAAGAAAGGAAACAGCCUCCCUGCACUGUUUGGGGGUGGUAGCUGGCAGGCACCUAAAAACACACCAGUUUUUGAAAACUUCUCUAGCUUUCUCACUGUGUUACUUUCACACUGUGCUAUGGUUUGAAUGUUUGUGUGCCCCCAAAAGUGAUACAUUGAAACCUCAUCUCCAAUAUGAUGACAUGAGCAAGUGGGAGUUUUAAGAGAUGAGGUCAUGAGGGCAGAGACUUAAUCAAUAAAAUUAGUAACUUUAUAAAAGAGGCCCCAGAGAACCUCACGGCCACUUCCACCAUGUGAAGACACAGCAAGACGCUGCAAUCUAUGAACCAAGAAAUGGGCCCUCACCAGACACUGCAUCUGCCUGUGUCUUGAUCUUGGACUUCCCAGCUUCUAGAACUGUAAGAAAUCAAUUUCUGUUGUGUAUCAGCCACCCAGUCUAUGGUAUCGUAGCCCAAAUGGACUAAGACACACUGCUUUCUCAAAUAUUCUUUCUCAUAGUCUCAACAACCAUUGUGUCAAUGUAUUGCCUUCAAACACUUUGAAACGUUGACAUUUUCGGAGACUGUGCCAAAAAGGAGGAAAUAUCCCUUAAGCCAGGCUUCCAUCCUGAAUUCUACACACAAGAUGAAGAGAAGAGAUUCUUUUACUCCUUCCAGAAAGGGGUGAAAGAAGGAAAGAGGAAGCUAAUAGGAACAGAAAAGCUGUGACCUGCCCAUGUGACCAUUCCCUGCCACCUCCAAAUGGUCACCAAGCAUUUCCAGAAAUACCUCAUGAAUGCUCUGAGUUGCUCCAUCUACAUGAUAGGGAGUUCUACGUGGGAUUCCUUGCAAGCAGCUCUGAUGGCAGGAGGGGAGACCAUGGGAAAAGGAGCACUGGGGCUGGCAGAAAUCUACAAGGAUAGUUUUGGAUUUCGACAGCCUGUGGCCUUAGCAGGGAAUCUGUGUAAACUCUGCCGGGAAUCCCAAGAAAUGAGGCAGUGAAGGAGUGGGGGUGGGGUCUCUGCUAACUUCUGAAACUGUGGUGAAAUGAGCAGAAUUGCCUGGAAGCUGCUCUGGAAGCUCAUUCAAGGUUACCUGGGCCAGCCAGCUGGAACUGCAAGUAAGCCUAUUCCUGGUGGAAGGAGCUCAGCCUCCACAGCAUGGGCAGACUCCCUCCUCACACAGGGUGACUGCACCUUCCCACAGGCCCAAGGUCUCCAAAUACUGGGAAGCAGGAAUUCCUCCCAUCUCCUCUGAACCCCUGGCACCCUACAUCCAAGCUGCCCAGCACCCAAACCACUCAUGUGUUCCCUACUCACAGACUGGUUUCUUACAUUUAUUCCCUAACUAAUACAGCAGAACAUGGACCUAUCCUGCAGAUCCAGCUGAGACCCUGACCUUCACAUACUUCUCUAUGGGACGGAGAAUAGAAUGGGAGACUCCUGCUUCCCCUUUGCUUGUUGACCCAGCCUUGUAAGAUUUCACUUUCCCUAAUAAAACCCAAUCCGUAGCCC
Molecule: long non-coding RNA, 1658 nt
Filed under: Homo sapiens (human)
Lineage: Eukaryota; Metazoa; Chordata; Mammalia; Primates; Hominidae
Description: HSALNT0128862
Source: RNAcentral